AUGUCAAAGUGAAGAAAUUCAACCAAG
This 27-nucleotide non-coding RNA is filed under the name Arabidopsis thaliana (thale cress). RNAcentral also lists the same sequence under 1 other name. The record is from RNAcentral. Lineage: Eukaryota; Viridiplantae; Streptophyta; Magnoliopsida; Brassicales; Brassicaceae.